AAAGUUAAAAGCUCUAUCUUCCGAAGCGAAAUUGGGGGUUAAGAAGAAUAGAGGCGGAAGAAUGCAUCACCUGCACCUGCUUUCUUCCUCAUUCACCAUCCAAAACCCUAGAUUAUGCCCUAAUCACUCCCUUUCCUCGCUCCACUCCUCCUCACCCUUGAGCUUCACUUCACGAACUCCUCUUCUGCUUUCCACAACCAGGCACUUCCGUAAAAAGCGCUCAUUGCAAUGUCGCCAGUCGGAUUACUUUCAACAGCAG
This 259-nucleotide long non-coding RNA is filed under the name Vitis vinifera (wine grape). Its description in RNAcentral is "long non-coding RNA (VVIN_LNC000171)". Lineage: Eukaryota; Viridiplantae; Streptophyta; Magnoliopsida; Vitales; Vitaceae. The record is from RNAcentral.